UCUCCGUAGGUGAACCUGCGGAGGGAUCAUUACAGAGUCGAUGCCCUACCGGGUAGAUCUCCCACCCUAUGUUAUUAUUACUUUGUUGCUUUGGCGGGCCGUUAGGCUCCGGCCCGACUACCGGCCCCGGCUGGUAAGCGCCCACCAGAGGACCCAAAACCCUAAAUAUUAGUGUCGUCUGAGUACUAUAUAAUAGUUAAAACUUUCAACAACGGAUCUCUUGGUUCUG
This 229-nucleotide unclassified non-coding RNA is filed under the name plant metagenome. Its description in RNAcentral is "partial contains small subunit ribosomal RNA, internal transcribed spacer 1, and 5.8S ribosomal RNA". The record is from RNAcentral.